AGCUUAUUCAGUCAGUAUACUUCCGUCGUCAGCCUACCACUUGAGCGUUAGUGGGCKUAAUGUUUUUUCAACAACACGUCAGGUCAAGGUGCAGCUAAUAAAAUGGAAAGAGAUGGGCUACAUUUUCUWAUCUAGAGCACACGAAAGACUACUGAUGAAMACUAGUCGSAAGGCGGAUUAGUAGUAAAUAGGAA
Molecule: ribosomal RNA, 194 nt
Filed under: Allobates femoralis (brilliant-thighed poison frog)
Lineage: Eukaryota; Metazoa; Chordata; Amphibia; Anura; Aromobatidae
Description: partial 12S ribosomal RNA
Source: RNAcentral